Pseudoliparis swirei is the source of this 2052-nucleotide long non-coding RNA. RefSeq lists it as uncharacterized. Lineage: Eukaryota; Metazoa; Chordata; Actinopteri; Perciformes; Liparidae. The transcript has 2 exons. The record is from RefSeq and is a predicted model, not a curated record.
UCAGGUUUGUUCCUAAGGAUAGGGAUCAGGUCGGUUCCUAAGGAUAGGGAUCAGGUCUGUUCCUAAGGAUAGGGAUCAGGUCGGUUCCUAAGGAUAGGGAUCAGCUCGGAUCCAAACAUAUCUUACUGGAUUGUUAUCAACAAAAAAUGAAAUCCAAUCCUUUCUUGGCUGUAUGGUGUUUGGUCAAGAGGUGGAAGAAGCGCUCAGAUCUUCUCCUGGAAUAAGGUUCUGUCUGCGGUGGACGGGUCCCUGAUGGAGGCCCCGCUGGAGGAGUCGGAGCUGAAGGACUUCCUGCAGAACCCGCCUGAUCCACAGUGUAAAAAUAGUUAAAGUUCGGAAUUCAAAAUCAUACUUAUCUAAAAAUACACAAGUAUUAGCAUCAAAAUACUCAUAAUUCAUAUUAGAUCGUAUUAUAUCAUUUAUUUUCUCUGCACUGGAUUAAGUGUCUAGAUUAUUUAGUGGCAAAAGUGAAUUUGUCCAACAGUUGGAGUUGAAAGUCUGGAAACAAUGGAAACAGUUGUAGUUUCACAGACACCAUCUUCCCCCAAUGUUCUACGAAAGUCACCUUCUGUCGCCAUGUGGGAGUUUGAAGUUUGGAUUUUUAGCUCCAGAUAUUGAAUCCUUCAAAACAUCUGAAAAAAAGUGCUUGAACGUGCCAACGGAUUAUCACAGAGAAGGAAGGCCGAAAAACGUGAACCGAGAGUUAUUUAAGUAAUAAAAAGGAUGAGAGAAGAUUGGACAAGUGUCUUUUUUCUUCUUCACAAGUAACGAAAGCGGUUUCAUUCCUUCCCUAUUAGCUCAUUUUGGACUUUUCUGCCAGAUGGGCCGAGCUUUGCUUUAUCGCUCACGCCUCCGUCUCAGCCCGGAGGACAGCUGAUGAGGGCUAAAGAGGGAAUUAGCGACCCACUCAAAGGCUUUGCUCUGAUCCUCCAGGUGGCGCUAGUGUACAAGGAGAACCACUUCAUACCAAAUCAGCUACUGGUGUAAAACCAGUGUGUGUAAAUGUGGUAGCGAAUUAUUAAACUUGUAAGUUUCCAUGAAGUUGUUUAUUGUGUGUAAUUGUCUUAUAUAAUAAAAUGCGUUAGGGAUGAAUAAUGAUUAAACGGAUAUGUGGAGGGGGACAUUUGUUAAUAAGCCUUACCUUAGGGGAGAGCGGGGUAAUGUGAGACACCCCCUGUAUCUAGGCAAAGGAACCCAUUUGUGGUAAUGUGAGAAUUAUGUUUUCAAGCCCCUCCCAUUCCCCCCUUGCCAUGAAAAAGAAGUGGUGCUGGUGCUGUGUUAAGUAUGUUUUUUCACAAAAAAAUCGUUUUUUGCAUGUAAAAGUAAAUGUUCCUGCUGUGAACUAAAUCAACUUUUGUGUCAAAACAAAUUGAUUUAGGUAGAAAACCAUAUAUCAUACAUGUCGAUGAACCUCUAACAUAUACAACCAUGUGAUUGAUGCGAGCUGAAGAUUAGCCUGAAUGGCUAAGAUAUGUUGUUUUUUCUAAAAUAGUGGCUGUGGGGUAAAGUGAGACAGUUUACCCCAAGUUAAGUUUAGUCUUAAACAUAUUUGAGUGUAAUAUUACAUUAAUUAUCUUGUAUUUGUAAUAUCAUAAACAUUGUAGAAAAGCCAUCAUGCCAAGAAACUACACCAGGAAGACAACAUGGGGCCAAACACCCCUUGCAGAGAUGGAGAGUGCAGCCGCUGAGGUCAUGCAAGGACAUAAGUCCUUAAGAAAAGCUGGAAGGGAUAGAAAUAUUGACAAGACAACCCUCAAAAGAUUUAUAAAGAAAAAUAGAAAGGGGAAGUAAAAUCAGUAUCCUGGGGUGCAGUAGCUGAGGCAAAGAGAAUAUUUACAGAUGAGAUGGAGGAGGAGCAAACACUUGAAACAACUAGCUGACCAGUUCCAUGGCCUUGCUCCAGUUAAUUGCCGUGAACUGGCAUAUGAGUUCUAAUCUAACUGGUUCUAUCUGUCAUUUGAUUGUUAAUUAAAACAUUUUGCAUUAUAUUUUGUUUUAUAGGAUUUUGUUUGGAGUUACUUUCAAGUGUUUAAAUAAAUGUGCUUAAUUGAU